RNAcentral lists this ribosomal RNA (875 nucleotides) under Panagrolaimus paetzoldi. RNAcentral describes it as "bacterial SSU rRNA". It matches the Rfam family "Eukaryotic small subunit ribosomal RNA", at positions 98 to 1014 of the family's 1831-position model. The record is from RNAcentral. Lineage: Eukaryota; Metazoa; Nematoda; Chromadorea; Rhabditida; Panagrolaimidae.
UCAUUACAACAGCUAUAAUGUAUAUGAAUUUACUGAUAAAUGGAUAUCUGUGGUAAAUCUAGAGCUAAUACAUGCAUAAAAACCUUUUUGUUUUACCAAAUUGGUUAAAUUAUCGUUUCAAAACUAACGGGUUCGCCCUGUUUUGUUAACUCAUGAUAAUUAAUGACCGUUCUUUAAUGAAUGGAUAUUCAUAUUUGGUAUCUGCCCUAUCAACUAUAUGACAGUCUAUUGUACGGUCAUGGUUGUGCCGGGUAACGGAGAAUUAGGGUUCGUCUCCGGAGAGAAUGCCUUAGAAACGGCUUUCACUUCCAAGGAAGGCAGCAGGCGCGAAAAUUACCCAUUCUCAGAACGAGGAGGUAGUGACGUGAAAUGACAAGCUUUAAUUCUUACGAAUUGAAGCAUUGGAAUGGUUGAAUUUUAAAAUCAUUCAAGAUUAUCAAUGAGAGGGCAAGUCUGGUGCCAGCAGCCGCGGUAAUUCCAGCUCUCAUACUACAUUGAACUGCUGUUGCGGUUAAAAAGUUCGUAGUUGCAAAUGUACAUAUAAAUGUGGUUUAUCAUUUUAUUAUGGUAUAACUGCAUUUUGUGUUAUUUAUAUUUUCUUUACGGAAAAUAUAAUGAUACCCUGAGUAAAGCAAAGUGCUCAGAACAAGCUAUUGCUUGUAUGUUUUUGCUGGGAAUAUCAAACGAAUACAUUAGUUGACGUUUGUUGGUUUAACAGCUAUGUAAUGAUUAAUAGGGAUAAACGGGGGCAAACGUAUCGCAGGGGGAGAGGUGAAAUUCGUUGAUCCUUGCGAGACGGCCUAUAGCGAAAGCAUUUGCCAAGAAUGUUUUCUUUAAUCAAGAACGAAAGUCAGAGGUUCGANGGCGAUCAGAUA